CUAGGAUGAACGCUGGCGGUGUGCCUAAUACAUGCAAGUCGAUCGGGCGUAGCAAUACGUCAGAGGCGUACGGGUGAGUAACACGUAGGUAACCUACCUUUAAGACUGGGAUACCCAGACGAAAGUUUGGCUAAUACCGGAUAACAACAUUUGAGACAUCUCUUUUGUUUGAAAGGCGCUGCAAGGCGCCACUUUUAGAUGGACCUGCGUCGCAUUAGCUAGUUGGUGAGAUAAAAGCCCACCAAGGCUGGGAUGCGUAGCCGAUCUGAGAGGAUGACCGGCCACAAUGGGACUGAGACACGGCCCAUACUCCUACGGGAGGCAGCAGUAGGGAGUUUUCGGCAAUGGGGGAAACCCUGACCGAGCAACACCGCGUGAGUGAUGAAGGUCUUCGGAUCGUAAAGCUCUGUUACGAGGGACGAAUGAUCGCUUUAGGAAAUGAGAGCGGUUUGACGGUACCUCGCCAGAAAGCGACGGCUAACUACGUGCCAGCCGCCGC
This 499-nucleotide ribosomal RNA is filed under the name uncultured bacterium. RNAcentral describes it as "bacterial SSU rRNA". It matches the Rfam family "Bacterial small subunit ribosomal RNA", at positions 26 to 518 of the family's 1533-position model. The record is from RNAcentral.